This 352-nucleotide long non-coding RNA is filed under the name Elaeis guineensis (African oil palm). Its description in RNAcentral is "long non-coding RNA (EGUI_LNC054066)". The record is from RNAcentral. Lineage: Eukaryota; Viridiplantae; Streptophyta; Magnoliopsida; Arecales; Arecaceae.
ACUUAUCUGAUCAAUUUGAUUGAUUAAGGAUUAAAUAAGGUUGCUUGGUCAUUCAUGUUCACCUAUACCGAAUAGGUUAGUCAGACAUGAGAUUGUGCUGAUCUAAAUUUGUUCAGUCGAUAUUUGAUGUGCUGAUUUAAAUGAGAUCUGAACCUAAAUCUUCUCACUAAAUAUUAAAUCUAGCGGUCUUCCACCAUUGUAGAGAUGCAGGAGCCUUCCUGAUGUUGAUCAUUCUUGGCUGGUUAUAGUGAUUUGGUUGACAUCGAAAAAGUACAACCACUCUAUUAGCAUUGGAUGUCCCGGGAUAAAAAUAGAGUUAGACCCAAUAGCUUUUAGGUGAGGGAUUCAAUGA